Non-coding RNA from Bactrocera oleae (olive fruit fly), 1649 nucleotides. The record is from RefSeq and is a predicted model, not a curated record. Lineage: Eukaryota; Metazoa; Arthropoda; Insecta; Diptera; Tephritidae.
UUGUUUCAAGCCGUUCUCUGUUCUAGGCGAGUCACCAGCAUCUACAAUUGAGCCGCCAAAUGCAGUGCAUUUACAUGUGUAGAUAUGUAAAUAGGUAUGUGGUACAUGUGCAUCAGGUGAUAACGGAUUUUAAGAGUAUAUUGGUGUGUAUAUACAUCGAGACAAUAAGGGCAGCACGCUGGAAUCACCGUUGUCCGUCGAAACACUCUUGAAAAGGUAUUCAGAAUCACUUUGAUUGACUUAGCAAACACUAUUUUCUAUCACAAUUCUUUAUACACUCAAAUACAAAUUUAAUAAAUCUUUAAUGAGAGUAAUUAGUUUUCUUUACUCUCAGAAUAAAUUGGCAAAGUUAGGUCUUUCUUUGAGGGUUUUGGACUGGCCUUACCACUGAAACUGAGAAUUUACGUGCUUUUUAGCUACCUACCUGCAUUAGAGCACGCGUACCUGCCUCCAAAUCUUCGCCAUCCACGAGUGAAUAGAAGCCUUUGACAUGAUGUUUACGGAACCAUGUAGUGGCUCGGUCUAGCAAAUAAUUUCUAUAACGCUGAGAGCUCGUACCACGCAGCACAUGCCCACAAACGAGUAGCGAAAGAUUCUUCGUCAACAUAUAGGCAAAAUCUACGAGCACUGGACGUGUGUUCGGCAAACCCGACAGCACCAAGAUCUAGUCAGAUGUAAGAGGUUGGCAUAAUGGCGCAUUUAAAUAAUAAAUUUUAUUUUUACCUGCGGUCUAUAGUUUUUCACAUGCUCCUCCACAUUAUUCAACUGCUGCACUGAUAUUAGCGCAUUCUUGUAGGUCUGCGCUUGUGUCGUCGAGCCCCAAUUAACAUCGGGUUUGCGAUACGCGACGAUUAAGUAUAGCGCCAAUACAGCGGCGAAGGUGAUGAGUGCCGUUACCCAAGAGAUAAGGAACAUAACGGCCACACAGAGUAUCGAACCUAUUAAACUAAGCCACAUGUUGUAGUACUGAAGGGAGAGAUUCAAAGAACGUAGAGCAUUAAUUUGAAAAUACAAUAAAUGGAGAAAAUAUGUAUGUGAGUACCUUAAAGGUUGGACGCCAGCCAAUUGGUUUGGCUAAGCUGGCGUGGAAGGUGCUGAAAUUGAUGAGCGUAUAGGCGCCAAGGAAGAAGUUCGAAAUAAGUGGCGCGAUCAAGUUGAGUUCGCCGAUUAAAAUGAAACUGAAAGGUGAAUAAAGCGAGAGAUAUAAAAAAAAUUAAUAAAUUAUAUUAAUAUAAUAUAAUAAAUAUUAAUAUAAUAAAAAUAAGACUCACGCAACAGCAAUGAUGAAUGUUAGCACAUAGCCACGGAAGGGUUCAUUAUUUUUGCCGUAUCCUUUGGCGAACCACACGAUUUUUGGAUAGAGCUCAUCUUUGCACAGCGCCUACAUAGAAUGACAUAACUCAAAGUAAAAUAUUUUCAUAUGAAUUACUUUAAAUAUGCUUAAUAUACCUGAAAUACUUUCGGUGCUGAGACCAAACUGGCCAAGGCGGAUGAAAUGGCUGCCGCAAAACAGCCGGCGUAGAUCAGUGGUCCAAAGCCAGAAACAAGUUCAAUGACUUGAAAUGAGUUUUGUAAACCGUAAUGGCAUUCACCUGGAAUUUAAGUAUUAAUAUUGUUAAAAAAAUAUUGACAAUAUUUAAUAAUAAAAA